This is a non-coding RNA of Nicotiana tabacum (common tobacco), 318 nucleotides long. The record is from RefSeq and is a predicted model, not a curated record. NCBI's taxonomy places the organism in Eukaryota, Viridiplantae, Streptophyta, Magnoliopsida, Solanales, Solanaceae.
AAUCGCGGCCACUAAUUCCAACCGUGGCAGCCUAUUAUGCCAGGCCUACAAAAGUCUUCAGGAACAUGACUUUCUUAUUCUUAAUACCCCAAAACAGCUAGGGUUUAUUCCUUUCAAGGAGAUACUAAUUCAAGAUCAUUCCCCCAAUGCUCAAGAUCAUCUUCAAGAACUCAAGAAGUGAAGAAUAAGUCUUUCUUCAAGAAGAUUCUAAAGAGUUGGCUAUGCGAGGUUGUUGUGAGAAGACUUGUGAAAUUGUUUCGAGGUGAGUUGAGGUUUUUUCCCUAAGUUAAGGGAUAAAUUAUAAUGUGCAUCUUAAAU